UAUAUGUAGCAGCCCCGGAUCCGGGUCCCGAAUCGCCGCGGAUCCGGUUCGCUAUUUCUACAACUGUUUGCGGAAGAUAUAAACAUAAAUUGUUUAUACAUUACAUUACACACUAUUCCCCAAGGUCGAGUAACCUUUACUUAAACACAAAUCAUAAGCUAUCUAACGCAUAACAAUACUAUUCUUCAACCAUACUUUUACAAAUUAGCUGUACAUUCUAUCCCAAGCUGAACUUGGCAUCAUCCUUUUCCUGUAACUGGCCGUAUUCGCCUUAUCUGCAAUGUUUUAUCAUGAUAUAGCAAGGGUGAGCAUGAAAGUUGCCCAGCAAGUUUAAAAAAAAACAAGGUAAAGAUAUAUCAUGAUUGAAAGAGUUUGAAUAAUAAGCUGGCUAUCCUUCACAAUGUAGUUGUGAAUUAGCAUGAACAAAAUUUCAAAGCUGAAUGAACAUUGAAAAUGAACAUAACAAUUAUAUCUGAACUGACUGGUAAUGAAGGUGAUCAGCCUUUCAUACCUGAUGAAUACAUGCAAUAUGUACAGAGUACAAUUCAUAAGCAUAUCUGUCUGAAACCACUCUUAAAAGAGUUUAAGUAAAAAGAACUUGAAAAACUUGCCUGAACCGUUGAUUACCGUAACGCAAUAUAAUACGCUUCUCCUGAAGACCUAAUAUUAAUAAUAUAGAUCUCCAAUAUUAGAAUAAUAUCAUCACCGUUAUAAAAUAACUUAAACACAUAAUCCUAUCAGUCUAUACAGCAUAUAAAACCUAUAAUAGAUCUUUCGGUUAGUCAUAACAUAUAGUUAAGUAUUAGACAUUAGUUUUAAGUCUUAAUAUUAUUAUUAUACUUUGAUAUUCUUUUAAUCACAUCAUAACUUAUACUUAUAAGUUAUUCAUUUUUAUAUGUUAUCCUAGUAAAUUAGAUAACAUCUUAGUAAACCGAAAUACCAUUUCAGUAAGACGGAUUUUAUUUCAGUAUCCCGAAAUCACUAUUCUUUUUCACGAAAAAUACCAAAUCAACUUAUUAUUUUUUUAUCCUUUGGUCAAACAUAUAUACAUGUAUUUCAUACAUAAAAAAUAUUUUUCCGUAAUUUUUCAAUUUCUUUUACUAUUUUUCAAAAAUCAUAAUUAGUGCGUGACUUAAGAAAAUUAGCUACCUCGUGCUUAACUCCAGAGAUGCCCAUCUUUUGACAUAACCUUAUAUAUGUUAACGUGAUGCUCCAUUUUAAAUUUCGUGGCAAUCGGAGUUGUAGAACUCCGGUUAUAGCGAUUUCCGUCGGAAAAUCACAAAAAUUGAAAUGGUCAUAACUUGGUCGUUUUAAGCCGGAAUUAGCUCAUUUUUGGACACGAGCUACAUAUUACCAUAUAUUUUCAUUUCCCAAAAGCCUGUAAUUUUUCUCAUUAACUAAAUGUCCAAAACAGCCCUCGGAAAAUUUUGGCCAGAAACUUUUUGCACUUUGGCAGUUUUGGAGUCCUUCACCAAAACUUAAAUAAAACGAAAUCUGUAACUCCGAUUAAUGAUCCGUCAAUUUUGUUGGAUUCGUAUCUUUCCGAACUACAGUUUUCAUAUAUCACAAUCCAUAUUUGGAUAUGUUUAGCUCCCGGAAUUUAGCCCGGAAGUGACUGUUCCAAAACUGUCCUUUUCACAGUUUUCUUAACUUUGUGUAGUUUGGGAGAAAUCCCAUAACUCCCUCCUCCGAUGUCGGAUUUAGUCCGUUUUGGAGUCUAUGGAAAGCUUAUUGAGUGUACUAUAACAUAUCACAAGUCCAGAAUUUUUAGAGCACUCUAACAAAUCCGAAAUUUUCUGUUUUAGGGCAGCAGUCCACUAACUCAUUUAAAACAAAAAAAACUGUUUUGGUUAUUCUUCUUUGUUCAAGCCUAUCAACCCUAAAAAUGGCAAGAUCUAACCAUAAAAUAUCAUUUAUCAUGUAGAUCUAUAGUUCUCAUGUUCAAGAUCUUAAACUUAUGGUUCAAAAUCAUAAGUUCAACACUUGAUCUAAAACACCAUAUCAAAACACUUUAACUAACAAGAGUUUUGAGUUUAGGAAAUUUUUACCUUUAGCUUCAUGACAUAUCUUUUUC
RNAcentral lists this long non-coding RNA (2074 nucleotides) under Panax ginseng (ginseng). RNAcentral describes it as "long non-coding RNA (PGIN_LNC003297)". Lineage: Eukaryota; Viridiplantae; Streptophyta; Magnoliopsida; Apiales; Araliaceae. The record is from RNAcentral.